GAUGAACGCUGGCGGCGUGCCUAAUACAUGCAAGUCGAGCGAACGGACGAGAAGCUUGCUUCUCUGAUGUUAGCGGCGGACGGGUGAGUAACACGUGGAUAACCUACCUAUAAGACUGGGAUAACUUCGGGAAACCGGAGCUAAUACCGGAUAAUAUUUUGAACCGCAUGGUUCAAAAGUGAAAGACGGUCUUGCUGUCACUUAUAGAUGGAUCCGCGCUGCAUUAGCUAGUUGGUAAGGUAACGGCUUACCAAGGCAACGAUGCAUAGCCGACCUGAGAGGGUGAUCGGCCACACUGGAACUGAGACACGGUCCAGACUCCUACGGGAGGCAGCAGUAGGGAAUCUUCCGCAAUGGGCGAAAGCCUGACGGAGCAACGCCGCGUGAGUGAUGAAGGUCUUCGGAUCGUAAAACUCUGUUAUUAGGGAAGAACAUAUGUGUAAGUAACUGUGCACAUCUUGACGGUACCUAAUCAGAAAGCCACGGCUAACUACGUGCCAGCAGCCGCGGUAAUACGUAGGUGGCAAGCGUUAUCCGGAAUCAUUGGGCGUAAAGCGCGCGUAGGCGGUUUUUUAAGUCUGAUGUGAAAGCCCACGGCUCAACCGUGGAGGGUCAUUGGAAACUGGAAAACUUGAGUGCAGAAGAGGAAAGUGGAAUUCCAUGUGUAGCGGUGAAAUGCGCAGAGAUAUGGAGGAACACCAGUGGCGAAGGCGAUUUUCUGGUCUGUAACUGACGCUGAUGUGCGAAAGCGUGGGGAUCAAACAGGAUUAGAUACCCUGGUAGUCCACGCCGUAAACGAUGAGUGCUAAGUGUUAGGGGGUUUCCGCCCCUUAGUGCUGCAGCUAACGCAUUAAGCACUCCGCCUGGGGAGUACGACCGCAAGGUUGAAACUCAAAGGAAUUGACGGGGACCCGCACAAGCGGUGGAGCAUGUGGUUUAAUUCGAAGCAACGCGAAGAACCUUACCAAAACUUGACAUCCUUUGACAACUCUAGAGAUAGAGCCUUCCCCUUCGGGGGACAAAGUGACAGGUGGUGCAUGGUUGUCGUCAGCUCGUGUCGUGAGAUGUUGGGUUAAGCCCCGCAACGAGCGCAACCCUUAAGCUUAGUUGCCAUCAUUAAGUUGGGCACUCUAAGUUGACUGCCGGUGACAAACCGGAGGAAGGUGGGGAUGACGUCAAAUCAUCAUGCCCCUUAUGAUUUGGGCUACACACGUGCUACAAUGGACAAUACAAAGGGCAGCGAAACCGCGAGGUCAAGCAAAUCCCAUAAAGUUGUUCUCAGUUCGGAUUGUAGUCUGCAACUCGACUACAUGAAGCUGGAAUCGCUAGUAAUCGUAGAUCAGCAUGCUACGGUGAAUACGUUCCCGGGUCU
Molecule: ribosomal RNA, 1372 nt
Filed under: uncultured bacterium
Lineage: Bacteria
Description: bacterial SSU rRNA
Rfam family: Bacterial small subunit ribosomal RNA
Source: RNAcentral